ACGCUCGACACCUACGAGGCAGCAGUGGGGAAUAUUGCACAAUGGGGGAAACCCUGAUGCAGCAACGCCGCGUGAAGGAAGACGGUUUUCGGAUUGUAAACUUCUGUUCUUAGUGAAGAUAGUGACGGUAGCUAAGGAGCAAGCCACGGCUAACUACGUGCCGCAGCCGCGGUAAUCUGAGCGGGCUGGCAAGGC
This 195-nucleotide ribosomal RNA is filed under the name uncultured bacterium. RNAcentral's name for it is "partial 16S ribosomal RNA". It matches the Rfam family "Bacterial small subunit ribosomal RNA", at positions 326 to 539 of the family's 1533-position model. The record is from RNAcentral.